AAAAUGGGAAUCAUCAGUUAUUCCAAAAUUGAAACAGAUUGCAGCUUUGGAGAAAGGGAGUGUAACCUUUCUGUUGGAUCAACUUUCAACAGGUAAUGAUGAUGAGAAGUGCUACAUCAUGCUGCAGGUCCUGACACACUUACUUCCACCAACUGCAGGAAGAGGUGCAGAGUCAAGCCGGUGCAGUGUCAGAUCUGCUAUUUCAUAUUUGCUGGACUUUGUACCGCUCUCUACCGAUUCAUCUAUAUUUCAAUAUAGUGUGGAACGAGGAUCUCCAGUAUAUCUGACAGUGGUGACAUCGCCACAAGGAGCCAGCAGCCACAACUAGUCUGCAUUGGAAAUCUGACCAGUGAGUCCCGCCAGUUUGUCAUUGUUGCCAAAAACGACAAAGUUGUAAUUCCACUGGAAGAGGAGAGCCUAACCUGUGCCUUGGAUAAGCUGUUUAAGUUCUUCUGGGUCUACAACCUUUCAUAUCCUCCCCAGCUUGCUUCAGUUUUUACCUUUCUGGAAUAUGUAUAUAACUUGCCAAUGUCUAAGACUGUAAGAAGAUCCAAAGUUUUGGAGCUUAUUAGCAAGCUUCAGGCUUUUGACUA
This is a long non-coding RNA of Xyrauchen texanus (razorback sucker), 593 nucleotides long. RefSeq lists it as uncharacterized. The transcript has 3 exons. The record is from RefSeq and is a predicted model, not a curated record. NCBI's taxonomy places the organism in Eukaryota, Metazoa, Chordata, Actinopteri, Cypriniformes, Catostomidae.